RNAcentral lists this ribosomal RNA (397 nucleotides) under uncultured bacterium. Its description in RNAcentral is "partial 16S ribosomal RNA". It matches the Rfam family "Bacterial small subunit ribosomal RNA", at positions 523 to 918 of the family's 1533-position model. The record is from RNAcentral.
AUACGUAGGUGACAAGCGUUAUCCGGAUUUACUGGGCGUAAAGGGCGUGUAGGCGGUCUUGCAAGUCAGAAGUGAAAUUCCUGAGCUCAACUCGGGCGCUGCUUCUGAAACUGCAGGACUUGAGUGCUGGAGGGGAUAGCGGAAUUCCUAGUGGAGCGGUAAAAUGCGCAGAUAUUAGGAAGAACACCGGUGGCGAAGGCGGCUAUCUGGACAGUAACGGACGCUGAGGCGCGAAAGCGUGGGGAGCUAACAGGAUUAGAUACCCUGGUAGUCCACGCCGUAGACGAUGAAUACUAGGUGUAGGGGGUAUCGACUCCCUCUGUGCCGCAGUUAACACAAUAAGUAUUCCGCCUGGGGAGUACGGCCGCAAGGUUGAAACUCAAAUGAAUUGGCGGGG